Rosa rugosa (rugosa rose) is the source of this 699-nucleotide long non-coding RNA. RefSeq lists it as uncharacterized. The transcript is spliced from 3 exons. The record is from RefSeq and is a predicted model, not a curated record. Lineage: Eukaryota; Viridiplantae; Streptophyta; Magnoliopsida; Rosales; Rosaceae.
GUCAAUGGACGCGCACAUGAGGCCUUAUGAUGAUCUCCUUACCAACAGGUACUAGACCUCUUCAUGCCCGCAGCCGAGACCACCGACUCUGAUCGGCAAAACGAUGCUGUCUUAGACGAUGCGACGCCGCUGCGCUCCGUAGCUUCUGUUUCUCGGUCUCCGGCGCUGCCGUGGGAGAGCGACUGUGAGGAUCAGGUCAAGGAGGGGAUCGUUAUGUUUUCGACCGAUGGCGGGAGUGGCAAGAAGAAGAAAAAGACAAGGUUUUGGUUGAAGAAGAAUGGAGUAGUUAAUAAUGUUACUAAGAACUUGGGUGAUGAUUCCAUCUUAAAGGCCUUGAGGAGUUCGUCUCCUUUGGAUAAAUCGACUCCUUUUGGGCUAAAUUAACACCUAUUAUGAGGCCACCUAACAUCCCCAUUCAGCAUGUGAUUCUGAUAGCAUAAUCCAGUUUCCGGUUUGUAAAUAUACAAUCUUCAGACAAGUGGUAGUGAUGGUACCAUGGAAUGUACUAUAUUUAUCAUAAUGUACAGAAUGUACUAAAAUCUGAAAAGUAUAUUGGAAACUAGUCCAGGAGUACCAUGGAAGAGCUGAAGAAAUAAAUGAGGAUUGUCUCAUCUUGAUUGGAUUGGAGGGGAAUUUUGUAUUUGCAGUCAAAUGAUUUAGGCUGUUGAAGAAUGUUGAUGCUGUAUUACUGAUACUUUU